CUGGUUCAAUUAAGUGCUGGGCAACACAAGAUUAGGCAGGUCCCAAAUGGAUAUUGAUCUCUUUAGGGAGCCCUCAUCUAUGAGUACGACCACUACGCCUACCAAAAUCACCUUAUUUAUUUCAAUGACAAAGAUUUUAACAUAAAAAUCUAAAUAUGCAGAAGAACGAUUUUAACAUAAAAAGCUAAAUAUGCAGAAGAACAUUUGAUAGAAAUCAAGUUUCAUGAAAUCAAAAUAUUGCAUCAUAUGUUUAUGGGGAUUCUCUAGUACUAUACACUCAC
RNAcentral lists this long non-coding RNA (281 nucleotides) under Salvia miltiorrhiza (redroot sage). Its description in RNAcentral is "long non-coding RNA (SMIL_LNC006750)". Lineage: Eukaryota; Viridiplantae; Streptophyta; Magnoliopsida; Lamiales; Lamiaceae. The record is from RNAcentral.